Molecule: long non-coding RNA, 6657 nt
Filed under: Sus scrofa (pig)
Lineage: Eukaryota; Metazoa; Chordata; Mammalia; Artiodactyla; Suidae
Description: lncRNA (ENSSSCG00000058944.1)
Source: RNAcentral
UUUACUGAUAACGUAUUUCAAAAUAGUAAAAAAAAAAAAAAAAAAAAAAAAAAAAAAUUAGUCCCUCCAAAUUAAAAUAAUUUAGAACUUAUGAGUUGUAAGAAUGGUACAAGGAAUUCUAUAUAUUGUGGACCCAGAUUAGUAAUCGCUUUAUCACUUCUCCUUCCCUCUCUCUCAUGCACACACACGCACACUUAUACAUGCACACAUAUCUACACAUACUUAUAUACGCAUACAUUUUUUCCUAAGCCAUUUCAGUGAGUUUAUCUUUAAAUCUUUCAGCUUGUAUUUCCUGAAAACAUAAUCAAAUACAGUUAUCCAAUUCAGGAGCCUUCACAUUGAUAUGAGAGUACUGGUACAGCUGAAUUCAUCUCGGGCUGAUUGCGUUGCUGCACCGUCACAGUCCGUAUUCGGACUUAGCCAUUGUGGCAAUAAUAUCCUGUAAAGCCGUUUCUUUUCCCUCUGCGUCCGGGAUCCAGCCCAGUAGUGCUCGUGGCUUUGGGGUGCCGUGUCUCUUUGAUCUUCCAUAAUCUGAAACAGCUCUUCAGUCUUCUUGUCUUUUAUGACAUUGACUCAUUUUAAGAGAACAGAGAAUGUCCCUCAUUUGGGAUUUUUCCGCUGUCUCCUCAUGAUUAGAUGAGGACAUAUUUUCCCAUCAUUCAUUGCAGUAUCUUUUUGAAUAAUCUAAAUUCGUAAGAGGGUCACCCAGUGGAAGAUGGGUAGCACACCUCAGAGCCCUGUCACCUCAAAUGUGACUGGGUCAGUUAUGGCUCAUGGUUGAGCAUGGCUGGCAGCCCUGCCAUGUUAGGCAUUUUCUUCUUUUGUUGUCACUGAAGUAUAGUUGAUUUACAAUGUUGCAUUAAUUUCUGCCAUACAGCAAAGUAAUUCAGUUAUACAUAUAUACAUUCUUUUCCAUAUUCUUUUCCAUUAUGGUGUAUCACAGGAGAUUGGAUAUAGUUCCCUAUGCAACACGGUAGAACUUUGCUUAUCCAUUCUAUAUAUUAUAGUUUGCACCUGCUUAUCCCAAACUCCCCAUCCAUCCCUCCCCCACGCCCAUGGCAACCACAAGUCUGUCCUCUAGGUCACACAGGAGACGUUUCCCAACAAAGUAUCCAGGGGUUCAUUCCAGAAUACAAAAGCAACCAUUUCAGCCUGAAACCUGUUUUUACCCUCCUCUUUAUUAAUGUUUUAGGGAUGUAAAAGCUCAUGAAAGAACAGGCCAGAUAUAUUACCAAAAAUAUUUAGGCUAUGUAAUGUAAUUCUAUUACUAUCAGUUAUUAGCAAGUUAAGUUUUUCAACUAAUACUACCUUUUACUGUUUCAAGAAAAGGUUGCCUGACAAAUGGAAGGCCUGGGAAUUAUGAGUCAAUGUCACUGGCCCAGCAAAGAAACUAGUGAACAGAACCUACAAGGGACAUUCACAUUGAGGCCAGGGAAUGAAAUCUAUAGACUGCUUGUCUGGAAGUUGAGACUCCCCCCGCAACCCCCUACCGCCCAGGUUUUGAAUGAUGGGCUAGGUUCUAAGAGACGUUUCUGUGGGAACUAUGUGACAUGCAUAUGGGAAUUUAUGUUUACCUGUGGUUGGGUCUGGAAGAAGAAAUCGUCAAAGAACUGUUUCUUGUCCCUGGAGCUGAAAAGGUUCCUGUCUAAGUCCUCCAGGGCCUUCGGUGUUUUCACUGAUGUGAGCCAGGUUCACCCAUGCCCACAGGCACAUGCACAUUCAAAGUACUGGACAGUACCACACAGUUCUUCUCGACUUUGCUGUGUGACUCUUUGAUUGUACUCACCUUCACUGCUUUCUACAGUUCUUUCCUUCUCCUCCUCCCUUCCUGUUUUUCUGCAGUUAUUUCCAGUCUUAAAAAUGCAGACCUCACAAUGAUUUUCCCAGGCUGAGAUACCAGGAUCUCGAAGCUUCUAAUCAUAAUAUUCAGUGCUUCCCCCGAUGUAUAGCUCUUAGCUUCCUUAAUUCUGUGCUUAGUUUCCCCCUGCUCUCUUACAGCUUCUACAAGCCUCUCCUGAACUGCUUACUCAGUUCUGCUCAGUGCAAAGCCAGGGGGUUGCAAAGAUCAAGGGGAGGCUGGGCAGCUCUGUGGGGUGAUGCUGCUGCUCCUCAGUCAUUCAUCCGACAAGCACACCUUGAGCAUCUGCUGUCUGCCAGGCACCACUCUCAGAGCUGGAGAUACAGAGACAACAGGUCAGACCACAUUCCCACCCACAUGGACCUUAUGCUUGAGUGGAGAGUCCUGUGAAGUCCUAGUAAGUAAAGCAGGAAGACAUCCGUCCAGGCGGCGAUAUGCACUGUGAUGAAAGUCAAACAAACGUGAAGGGUAGGGAUGAGACAGGGCAGUAGGGGAAUGGUUAGGGCACCCCCCCACCCCCACUCCAGUCUCUGUCUCAGCUGGAUGCCCUCAUCUUACAGGUAGAACUUGGGGUCAAGGAACUGGGGGAGACUCCAUUUGAUAAUCUGAGAAAUUACCUACUUCCUGAAGACAAAGACUUUCCAUUUGUUCCAGGGGAAGCUAACAGAGCAUGUAUUAUCUUCUAACGUAAUUUUUAAAUGACAGAGUCAGAACUGUGGACCACAGAUUUGAAUCGUCUUGCCAGUGCUUUCUAGAUACGACAUAACUUUACUGUAUGAUUAAUUCCAGUGAUUCUUAGCAAGUAAUUACCAUUCACACACAUCUGCCCUUAAAACCGGGCCAUAUGCAAGUCUCUCUUACAAAUCAAAAGGUAACAGACUGAAAUGAUGAUUUCAAACAGGGUAUGUGUUAAUUUUGCAGAUCAUUGCAAAAGGUCAUGUCUUUGGGCUGCAAAGGUAUGAAUUUUUCGGGUGCAUCACAGUAUCCUAGAUGGGACACGAGAGGAAGGAAGGGCUGGAUCUGUUCAGGGCGUGACUGGUACAAAUGGAUUCUUCUCUUUGGGUGCCAGCCUGCAAUAGUUGCCUUUUGAAUUUAUCAGUGAGUGGCUUUAUACCCUCUAUUACGGGAAAGCACUCGCAUACCCUCCAAAAACCAUAAAUGCUUUCACCAAAACCUGACCCAAGGUAUUCCCUUGGGGAUAAGGAGGCAAGACAGGUCUAAUGCUUGUGGUGGGGCACAGAACCUCUGCAUCUAGCCCACAAGCUUUCACCCAGGUGGGCAGCCUCUCCAUCACUCUGAAGUGUCGUCCCCCCCCAAUUCCUGCCCCUCCACAAACCUGGGGAUUCCUGUGGUCUUCACCCUGUCACAAGAAAUGCACGAACAGCCCUGGCCAGAACCCCCCCAGGGCUUGUAGUUAGAUGGUUUGGGAAAGCCCCCUCUGGGAGAGCCCUGGCUGAGGCCUUUGAUAGCUGCACCUUACCUGGGGGACAACAGAAAUCGCCUCUCUCCUGUCCUUCCCUCUGCUCUGAUCACCUGAUUCCCCCAACCCUGAAAUCAGCAAAGGCGCAAUGGAAGGGCUAAGAAGAACACCUUUUAGGUAUUUCCAGCCACAGUAAGGGACCACAGAGGCUCCCUGGAGAGACCCUGGUCUACAUAACCCUCCCCAAGGUCAGCAAAGCAAGGCCAGAAGGUCAGACUCCCUGCCUUCAGAGGCUUGAGGCACUUCAGAGCUUGGAAGUAGAAAGUGCAUCAAGAAGGAGAACCCUGGAAUGGCCCUGGGCACAGAUCUUAUCACAAGCACACAGCUGACUAGGAUUUCUCUCCCUAUCCACCCCAGGACAGUACCAGUUUGCAGCAUCAGAAGGCUUCUAGGCAAGGAAAGCAUGAAAUGGGCAAAGCCCCAGUGUCUCUGCUGACCUGUAAUAGCCCCCCACCACUGUCCCAAGGUCUGCCAUCAUUUCUCUUUGUUCUAGGUCCCUGUGCCUGACUUGACCAGCCAGCAUAGAAAGUGUGCAACACUCGCCUUGCGCCUCCCCCGCCCAAAACAGCCUCCUCAUCUAGAAAGAGACGAGAAAAAGAAGGAAAAAUAGAAUCUUCCAUCUCUGAGAGCCUUUAAGUACUUUUAUUUUUCAAUACAAUGGGAAAUUACCCUGGAAGAUAAAAGGGUAAACUUGAGGAUCCACGGAAGAGGAACUAGAAUGGCCAGCGUGGGGCACGUGCUAUUGCACUGGUCGCUGGUUCUGGCGACCAGCAGCCCUCAGAAUUCAGCAGGGAGGAUCAGGUCCCUUGGUAAUUAUGCGCAUCCAUUAGCAUGACAGCCAUUCUUUGUUGGAGGCCUUUGGUGACAGUCUCUCUCCGGAGAAGCACACAGCCUUGUGGUCUGUCUCUACAUGGCCACAAAGUACCCCCCCUAAGGGAGAGAUGCCACCAGUAACACCAUAUGAAAGGCAGAGUUUGUUGGGGGGGUGUUCUUGUUUUUAAUCUUAGAUGCUGGUGCAGAGGCACCGAAUGUCUAUUACAAUUUUAUCAACACUGCUAACCAAAGCGGCACUCACAAAGGAAAUGAAAUGUUAAGGUUUCAUGAUGAUGAUGGUGGGGUGGGGCUGGCGAGCUGUAGAAGGUGGGGAAGGAGGGGGAGCAUGUCAGUGCCUUUCCUUUAGCAAAGGGAAAAUAUGGGGCAUUCCAUAAACAGAGCUUCAUUCCCAGCCGGCAAUUCUUACACUUAAUAUGUUUUGUCAGGCAAGUCUUCAAUACAGAUUAAAAUGAAAUGCCAAGUAAUUUCCACCUCUCGGCCGCUCAUGUCUGCGAACAAUGGAGAGUGUUUUGAUGAAUGUCAGUUAAUGGCACUGGCACGCUUGUAGAUUUAGUCCCAGCAGCAAGGACUGAGGCGUGGGGGAGGGGUGGGAGGCUCCUCCAAGUGUGGAGAGGAGGGAUGGGGAAGAUUGUUCUCUAAUCCCCUUCGGACUGAUUGAUUCGGUUCUCAACAACCCAAAUUGCAAAUGAACCCCAAACAAAACCAGGAUGCCAAUGAGAUGACCCAUCGUUGUGAACGAGGCUCAAGGCAGAAAACACAAUUGCCAAGAGCUCCCUCCACCCCAAGGAGGACUUGUGCAUUGAGGUCGCAUUGCAGGGCAGAUGCAAUUUCCGUGGAAGGAAAGUGGGCAGCUGCAUUGCUGCGUCUAAGGCUGCGGUUCAGCUGGAAUAUUGGCAGCAGUCUCACGAGUUGUGCUUUUUUAGGGUUCCCUGGUGGUCUAGCAGUUAAGGAUGCAGCAUUAACACUGCUGUGGCUCGGAACUGUCUGCACACUGCGGGCGUGGCAGAAAAAAAAAAUAGUUGUACUUUUUGAGUCUGUCCUCUUCCUGCUGGGUUCCCUCCUGACAGAAAUCAGACACCGCCAGCCCACAGGCCCAGCUGUGAUUUCUCAUUUCCUGCACGUCCCUGCCUUGGCAGCUUUGCAUUGUAAACUCCCAGCAUGGGGUAUAUCCGAGGAGCAGGAUAAAGGCAGAAGCACCAGAAUUCUGUCCCCCAAGGAUUUAAAUCCUCACCUUCCUCAUGACUGGCGGGUGCCGUGUUCUUAUUUCUCAUCCUGUUCUUAAGCUUGAUUGGGAGGAUUUGGUUUCCACUUAUUCUCUGAUUGUUUGGAAUGGGAGCUUUAGCUGGAAGUUGCUGACUAAUUUUACGGUUGUGUAGGUAACAAUUAACACUUCUGUCCAGCAAUCAUUGGGAAAGAAGCCUCUGUAUUCAAAGUCUAGUCAGUUAAAUUGGUUUUCUCUUCAAGGUACCAAAGACCAGGCUGUUAACUUGACUUCGGUGCUUCCAUGUCUUUGACUUGUUUCUUGGAUCACCAGUUACCAAAAAUUUUAGCCCCAACUCAGUUUUUUUUAGAUGUUGAAUCAGAAAGGAACUCUUGCAGGAAUGCUUAAGACAUGUGCAGAAAUUCUCUUCCUGAGACCAGGAAGGGUAAGGAGAAGCAGAACUGAGGUGUCUUGGGCUCACCCGUUCUCACUGUUAGUUAAAAGCAUUUGCACCGUGUGAUUUUCUGGUUUGAUCCCCACCCCAGCCCUUUAAAGGUGUUACCGUCCCCAUUUUACAAGAAACUGAGCUCUCGUGGGUUUCCCAGGACCUCACAGAAUGAAGGAUAAAGUCUGCAGGUCUGUCUGACCCGAAGUCCCAACUCUCCCACCAAAACUUUAUCUUGAGAAAGUUUCCAACUAUUUCCAAGUAAUUCAGAAUUAAGCUUACUUGUUGGUGAAAGAAGCAGUUCUCAUUACACUUGUACACUGAUGGCCAAUUGUUUUAAAAUUUUCAACUUUAUAUCCUUUUGUCAAUAAUUAGUCUCAAAGCAUCAAACUCGGUGGCUGAGCUCUGAGUCUGAAUCUCUUCCACAGAGGGUUGCUUUGCGUGUAGAAGGCAGGCACUUUCUCAUGUACAUUUCAGAAGCAGCCUGAGUUUUUCAAUUCUUAGAUCAUCUGAAAAGUCCAUUUUGCUGCCAGUUCUAGGCUUUUCAAAACUAACAUUUAAGGAGGUGCUUCUAAAACAGGAAUAAAAUGGAAUGGUUUGAGUUGGUCUCCCUUCUGCAUCCAGGGAAUUUGGAAAAGCAAGAGAAUAGGCAGUAUAGAGUUCUCAUUGUAGCUCAGCAGUUUAAGGACCUGACAUAGUCACCACGAGAGUAUGGGUUUGAUCCCUGGCCUCACUCAGUGGGUUAAGGGUCCAGCAUUGCAGCAAGCUGUGGUUUAGGUGGCAGCUGCAGCUCUGAUUUGACCCCUGGCCCAGGAACUUCCAUAUGUCACAGGUGUAGC